UUAUGGGGUAGCAGAACGUUGGGUAAAUAACACGGUUUAUUGUUUUUAACAAUAAAUAUAAGAUAACCCAAGUGAUAAUGCUGACAUGAGUAACGAAAAAGGGGUUAUACCCUCGCCUAAAGCUUAUGGUAUUUUAAAAUAAGUAACGGCCUCUAAGUUUACCAACCUAAAGGAUUAAACGAUGAGAAAAUCUUUUAGUUACUUAGUAACAACCUUCCUUCUUAUGUAACCAAGUCACCUUGCGAGGGGUUUGCUUGGAAAUAUUAUUGCCAAGUACCGGCGGAAGGCGGGCAUAAGAAAAGUUGAGGGAGGUUCUGGAAAAAACAGUGACAAACCUGCUUCCGGUAGUACGGAAGAAAGGGGGGAAAACAAAACCGUACCUAAAUACCACCUCAGGUAAGCUAGUAGAGAAUACGAAGGCGUUUGAGUGAACAAUCAUUAAGGAACUCGGCAAACUAACUACCGUAACUUCGGAAUAAGGAGUGCCAUUCCUCUUCAUUAAUAUGAGGUAAAGAAUAGGAAGCAUGGAAUAGUGUUGUACGACUAGUUUAAUUAAAACAAAGCACUUCGCAAUAAGAUAAUAAAUCAAAGUAUUGAGUGUGAAUUCUGCCCGAUGUCGGCCGGUUAACGGAUUUACUAAGUUGACUAAUAUAAGCUUGGUUUUGAAGGAAACCCCGAUCAAUGGCGGUCUUACCUAUGAGGAUCCUAAGGUAGCGGAAUACCUUGGCCGUUAAAUGCGGUCUUGCAUGAAUGAUUUAACGAUACAACAGCUGUCUCAAUGAUUGGCUCAGUGAAAUUGGAAUGACAGUGCAGAUACUGUUUAUCUCUAGAUAGACGAGAAGACCCUAUGCAGCUUUACUGUUACUAGUUAUUAGAUAUGAUAAACAGCAUUUUUAGUGCAUAAGGUAGGUGCGCGGAGGUUUCAUUGGAUUCUUCUGUCACCCAAAUUGAAACACCUUUAUUUAGUUUUUCAUAUUGGUAAAUAUAUUUUACGUGAAAAAUCCAAUAUGGGUCUUUCAUUUCCAGAGGAACGAUGACUAGGAGGCAGUUUAUGCGG
This 1057-nucleotide non-coding RNA is filed under the name Blumeria hordei DH14. RNAcentral's name for it is "Blumeria graminis f. sp. hordei DH14 Bacterial large subunit ribosomal RNA". It matches the Rfam family "Bacterial large subunit ribosomal RNA", at positions 1221 to 2277 of the family's 2925-position model. Lineage: Eukaryota; Fungi; Ascomycota; Leotiomycetes; Helotiales; Erysiphaceae. The record is from Rfam by way of RNAcentral.